AGUAUUGAGAGGAACUUUUCCUGAUACAAGAAGACCCGAAUGAAGCGCCUCUGAUAUAUUAGUUAUCGUGUUCAUAAUAAAUGUUGGAUAGUCAAGUGCUGAAGGAGACAACUACUGAAAGUAUCUAAGUAGUAAGUUUGCUUCAAAAUGAAUGUU
RNAcentral lists this non-coding RNA (156 nucleotides) under Capsicum annuum. RNAcentral's name for it is "Bacterial large subunit ribosomal RNA". It matches the Rfam family "Bacterial large subunit ribosomal RNA", at positions 2658 to 2812 of the family's 2925-position model. The record is from Rfam by way of RNAcentral. Lineage: Eukaryota; Viridiplantae; Streptophyta; Magnoliopsida; Solanales; Solanaceae.